AGAGUUUGAUCCUGGCUCAGGAUGAACGCUAGCUACAGGCUUAACACAUGCAAGUCGAGGGGAAACGACAUCGAAAGCUUGCUUUUGAUGGGCGUCGACCGGCGCACGGGUGAGUAACGCGUAUCCAACCUGCCCACCACUUGGGGAUAACCUUGCGAAAGUAAGACUAAUACCCAAUGACGUCUCUAGAAGACAUCUGAAAGAGAUUAAAGAUUUAUCGGUGAUGGAUGGGGAUNCGUCUGAUUAGCUUGUUGGCGGGGUAACGGCCACCAAGGCGACGAUCAGUAGGGGUUCUGAGAGGAAGGUCCCCCACAUUGGAACUGAGACACGGUCAAACCUCCUACGGGAGGCA
RNAcentral lists this ribosomal RNA (352 nucleotides) under uncultured bacterium. Its description in RNAcentral is "bacterial SSU rRNA". It matches the Rfam family "Bacterial small subunit ribosomal RNA", at positions 8 to 350 of the family's 1533-position model. The record is from RNAcentral.